GAGUGAACGCUGGCGGCGUGCUUAACACAUGCAAGUCGAACGAUGAAAGCGGGAGCUUGCUCCUGCUGGAUUAGUGGCGAACGGGUGAGUAACACGUGAGUAACCUACCCUUCUCCGGGACAUAACUCCGCGAAAGCGGUGCUAAUAUCCCAUACCAACUCAUCAAGACAUCUUCUUGAGUUGAAAGCAGCAAUGCGGUGAAGGAUGGGCAUGCGUCCCAUUAGCUGGUUGGUGAGGUAAUGGCCCACCAAGGCUACGAUGGGUAGGGGUUCUGAGAGGAAAGCCCCCCACACUGGUACUGAGACACGGACCAGACUCCUACGGGAGGCAGCAGUAAGGAAUAUUGGGCAAUGGUCGAAAGACUGACCCAGCCAUGCCGCGUGCAGGAUGAAGGCCCUAUGGGUUGUAAACUGCUUUUAGCCGGGAAUAAACACCCGUUUUAUAACGGGCCCGAAGGUACCGGCUGAAUAAGCAUCGGCUAACUCCGUG
Molecule: ribosomal RNA, 489 nt
Filed under: uncultured bacterium
Lineage: Bacteria
Description: bacterial SSU rRNA
Rfam family: Bacterial small subunit ribosomal RNA
Source: RNAcentral